GAAUGAUGAAUAACAUGUAUACUCUUUAAUGUUUUACUUUUCCCUACUCUUCUGAUGUGUGGAAAGGACCAGGUCUGCAUGCUAGCUUAGCAGAAGAGGGAGACAACUCUCCAUGAUGCCAACAGGACAGUAAGGAAGUUCAUACCAAUUUACUGAUCUAUUUGUCCCUCAGUUUCCUUUCUGCAGGAAGGACCUGCCACAAAAAUAUCAUAAAACAAGCCUCUCGGGAGUACAAGGUAAGCUAAGCUCAGAACUCAGCGCUGUACUGAACAGUAGUAACUCUGUGUCAGAAUUCUAAAACCAGUUGAGAUGCUCUGGGAAGCCAUGUGGAGCAUGUGAGAGGAGUUGCCUUGCUUUUCCUAAGGGAGCUGAGUUGCCACUCAGUCUCCCUAUAAAUGUUCACUCAGAUAGUAACGGAAAGCUUCAUGGCUUUUCAGCUGCUGCCAAGCUUUAUCUUGAGUUUCCUCCCUAUGAGGUGCUCCCUAUAAGGUGCUCCCUAUGAGGUGCUCUAUUCUCAGCAUCAGGAACCUGGGCUCUGCCUGAACAAAACCAAUGCUUUCAAUUUUCAUAGCAUCCUCAGUGAGACAUUCUGCCUGCUCACUUGAGGCUGUUUUGUUUCUCUUAAACAAGCCUCAAGCUAGAUUACCUAUUUUCCUUUGGGAAUAGUUACUCAACAUUUACUGAAACCACUGUAUUAUUUUUUGUGUGUUAAAGAAAAGCAAUAUAAUAAUCACUAUUUGCUCUGGGUUAGUUGGCAUCAUGGCUAAAUGAAGCAACUUGAUACAUGCUAGAGGAUUUAAGCAAGAUUUUUGGUGUGUGUGUGUGUGUGUGUGUGUGUGUGUGUGUGUGUGUUUAGUUUCUCUAAGAAUACUUGGUAAUUGUCAAAAAUGCUUUGCAAAUAGCUAUUGUUACAUCUGUGGCUAUCACUAUGACUAUUCAUAACUCCUUCCAUACGUGGAGGAAGCUUCAAUUAGUGAAAUGUGAAGUCAGUGUAAACUCGUACUGGUCACUUUUAACUAAAUAACCUUGAAGGAAAGUAAAUACUCUUUCUGCAUUCAAGGAGGUGGGAGAUACUCCUUAAAAUGAGAGAUAUUAUGACAGACUCCAUAGUUUACAAGAGGCGUUUCAGAAUCUAAAGGAGAAGAUGAUUAAAGGUUAGAAUGCCUGAUCUUGUUACAGGAUAGCAUCAGUAAUAAACCUGUUUAGGAAAGGCUAACUUUUUAAUAUAUAUGUAUACAUUUGAGAGUAAGGGAAGACUAUAUAUGCUGUUAUAAAAUUCUCAUUGUCACAACUGUGGCUGCCUCUUUUUCCUUGAAUUGCUGUCUGGAAACAAGCAGAGUUGAGAUUAAAGCUUUGGCUUGGAGGGACGCUGGUAAUGUUUCUCUUCUUUAGAUGGGAUUCUUUAUUUUCUGGAAAAUGCUUUGUUUUGUAAUCAUUUGAUUACAUAAUGGUUUCUCAAUAUAUCACGAGAAGGUUGACCCAUCAAGAAUUAAUCUUCCUUCCACUUGCAAGUUUUGAUGCAAACAUUUUAAAUGGUAUUAAGCAUGGCUGUAAACAGUUCAAGUUAAACAGACCUGUCUCCUGUCACUGUGGCAUCUGUGCCUAGUGUCUACCUUGGAAGAGACAGCUGUGUUAUGGCUAAAGGUGGCCUUGGCUUGAGAUUCAGACAGGAUGAGCAUCUGGGCUGGCUUGUAUCAUGACCCACUUUCAGAAUAGCAGAUUCAUUUCUGAGGGAACCACAUUCUUCCACCUCUUAAGCAUCUUUUAUUAGUUCUCUUCUCUUGAAAAUGUGGCAUUAAAGAUUAAGUUUCCCAUGCGUGCAUUUUGUGAGGACACAUUCACACCACUGAACUUGACCUCUCCAAAUGGUGUUCCCAUUGUUUGUGCCACUGUCAGUGCUGUUGAAGACCAACAAUCAAAUGCUCUGCCUUAUUGACUCUUUUCUCCUACAGACCCCAAUCAGAGUCUCAAAAAUCCUAAGAUGGUAUGCACAUUGGAGUGGGAUAGAAUUUUACCAUGGGUUGUUAUGCUUCUGAAAAUCAAAUAGUCUGAAUGAUAAACAUUUGAGACUCUGUGGGCCACUAUCUGCAACAUACAUACAUACAUACACACACACACACACACAUACAUAUAUGUGUGUGUAUAAAUGCAUAUAUAUGUAUACACACACAAUGUGUACACAAAUGCCAAAGUGAGGGAAAUUUAAUAGGAUACAAUCUUGGACCCUUACCAACACAGAAGGAAGAAGGAUUUAUUGUGGCUCAUAGUUUGAGGGUAUAAUCCAUCCAGUCAGGGAAGGAAGACAUGGUGGCAGGAGGGGAUGGAGGCAUCUGGUCUCUUUGCAUAUACAGUCAGGAAGCAGACAGAGAAAUGAAUGAUGGUACUCAGAUCUCUUUCUUCUGUUUUUUUUUUCUUUAUCCCCUCCCCGCUCCCACUGCUCUCCAACCUACCAUUCCUGGCCCUGGCAUUCCCCUAUACUGGUGCAUAGAGCCUUCACAGGACCAAGGGCCUCUCCUCCCAUUGAUGACUGACUAGGUCAUCCUCUGCUACAUAUGCAGCUAGAGCCACAAGUCCUACCAUGUGUUUUCUUUGAUUGGUGGUUUAGUCCCAAGGAGCUCUGGGUACUGGUUAUUUCAUAUUGAUGUUCCUCCUAUGGGGCUGCAAACCCCUUCAGCUCCCUGGGUACUUUCUCUAGCUCCUUCAUUGGGGACCCUGUGCUCUGUCCAAUGCAUGACUGUGAGCAUCCACAUCUGUAUUUGCCAGGCACUGGCAGAGUCUCUCAGGAGACAUCCAUAUCAGGCUCCUGAUAUAGCUGUCUCUUCUUCUUCUUUUAGUUCAACCUUGAGCCACAUCCUGAGAUGAUUCUGCACACAUUUAAGGUGGCUCAUCCCAGCCCUGUUCACACAAUUUAAAAACUCUCUUACAGACAGUAUCAACUCAUCAAUAAGCACUAUCUCUCACAAAUCCACUCAUUGUUCAUGUUACAACCAGGGGUAUGAUUUCUAAGCCUCAACUUUCCAGUUCUUAUCCCCAUGGGAUAAUAUCUAUCUCAUAAUGCAAAAUGUAUUCCACCUAACUUUUAAAGUCUCCGUAGACUUUAACCAUUUCAACAAACUGUUCAAAAGUCUAAGUGCAGAUUUUCUUCUUAGGCUUAGACAAUCCCUGAAAUUUGAGCUCCUGGAUGAAGAAGAAGAAGAAGAAGAAGAAGAAGAAGAAGAAGAAGAAGAAGAAGAAGAAGAAGAAGAAGAAGAAGAAGAAGAUGAUGAAUAUUGCAUACUCCCAACAUAUAAUGACACUUAGUGAACAUUCUCAUACUAAAAGGCAUGGAGGGAAAUGAUCACACCAAAGCAAGACCAAAACCCAGCAGAGACAAUAGCAAACCUUGAAGCUACCUGAUGGAAUCAUCUGCUCUCCAAAGGGAGGGGCCCGUGCAUUAUUCUAUCCCUGGUGCUUGGAGCACACAUAGUCUCUCUCUUGACCCAGCUCUGCUUCACCUCUGCAUCUUUCCUCGCAGGCAUCUCAUGUCCCUAUCAUGUCCACCAUCCCAGGUCUCCAAGGGAAUUUAGGCUUCACUUCCAACACUUCACACAUGAUCUCUCCAGGCCUCAUCGCAGGAACUCUGACCCUGCCACAUAUUGUUUGUCCUCAUUGCCUCUCUAGAAUGAUGAUAAAAGAUUUCAUGGCUCUCUUAAUCUUGGACUUUUCACUCUUGGAAAACAAGUACCAUAGGCACUAUACUAAAGUUCUGCUGCCAGCCCCAAAUUGAGUUUGGCCUCCUUGGGUCACAGGUACUUUGCCCAGUGUCUACUGACCUCAAGGAAAUGUUUUCCUGGACAGUUUCCUUUUUAAUCAGGAAAUGCCUUUAGUACAUUUCCUGUUCAGGCUUUUUCCUUUCAAGUGGAUUUACAAAUUGAUAAGCUUUUAACUAUGUGGGAUAAGCCUUCCCUUGGGGAACCCUUCCCAAUGCUUUAUCUGUGUGUUCCUUUUCCAGUUGUGAACUUGCUCGCAUGCCUUUCUCUGCCAAGCUUCAGAGUUUUUCAUAUCCUUCUCUGCUGCUCAUUGUACAUCUGAAUAGGAUAAGAAGUCACCCCACAGCAUGAAUGCCAACUUGUCUCGAAACUACUCCAUCAAAUGAGUUAAUCCAUCAUUUUUAUUCGGCCUUCUUUAAGUUCCUAGGAGCUGAGUAGCACGGAGUCGAUUCUUAAUCAGAAUAUAACAUGAAUGACCUUUAGCUAAGUCUCCAAUAGAUGCCUUGUUUCCCUCUAAAACCUCAUGGGCUAAACCUCCACUAUCUACAUAUCCCACUGCAUGGUGGUUUUCCUCCUGCUCACUUUGGCCCCCUACGUUAUGCUUAUAACAUGGAAUUCUAAGUCUACUUUUCCCUCACAGCAUUGGCACAUUUUUUUGGUGCUCUGUGUAUAUUACCUCACUUUGUAAGUUCAUAUAUAAAUUAGCCCUAUCAUGUCUGGAAAACACACUAUUUCUUUGGUGUCAUAUAUUCCCUCUGGCUCUUACAAUAUUUCUACCUCCUCUUCCUCACAGUUCCCUGAGUUCUGAGCAGAGGGAUUUGAUGACAACUUCCUAUUUAGAACUGAGUGUUCCAAGGUCUCUCACUUUCUGCACAUUGUUCAGUUGUAGGUCUUUUUAUUAGUUCUUAUCCACUCUAGAAGGAAGUGUCUCUUAUGAUGGCUGAGCAAGACACUGACCCAGGGAUACAGAAGAAUAUAAUUAGAGUAAUUUAUUCUAUUGCUUUAUUUCUUUAGUAGAACAAUAACAUUUUGUUUUACCCUAGGCCCAUAGCCUAUCUAAUGUCGGGUUCCUGAUCACCUGAGCAGUGUCAGUUGUGGGUUUUCAUCUCAUGGAAUGGGCCAUAAACACAAUCAGACAGCCCUACUUAUUACCACAAUGUUUAUGCCACGAUUGCACCUACAUCUUGCAAGAGGGGGCAGAAGUAUCAUCAGAUAGAUCCCCAUUAUAGAUUGAAGGGCUUGUAGCUGAGUUGGUGUUACCUUCUUCCUAUGCUAUGUACAGUACCACAAACAGCAGUCAGUAGCAGUGGAGCAUCUAUUUAGGCACCAGCUCAACUUCUUUGUGUUCAAUGAGAUAUGUAAGUAUUGUCUUCAGCAGUAGAGCCUUGCCAUUACUCUGCUUAGAGCAACUCACAGCUUUGGCUAUGUCAAGUUGUUCAGAGAUUUCCCUAUGGUUCCUUUGGCCAACAACUGGAUUAGAUGCAAUCAGAUACUGGAACUCGGAGUUUCACUUGAUGGCUAAAUUUGUGUUGUGUGGCCAUGUAUCCUCUAUUAUUUGAUGAGUUCCCUCAGGUUUCUUUCAUAAACUAGAAGCUUCAUGUCAGUAGGUUUCCAAUGACUCCUCAAGUGACCCUUGAUGUUACUUGUUCCUCCCCGUACUUCCUCUUUUACUACUGUCUUCCCUCAUCCUCUCCUUUUGGUCCUCCAUUCAAAUCUCUCACUACCUCUCCACAAUUAUAUAUUCUGUUUCCCCUUCCUUGAGAUACCCUCCCCCAGUCCCUUACUCUAUACCUAACUUUUGUGGUUACAGGGAUUGCAGCGUUCCCAUCAAAGGCUUAAAAGUUAGGAUAAUAGCUACUUCAUGAACUUCAACUAUGAAGCGCUCAUGAGGCAGACAGGAUGUCUUAUAAGGUAGGUACGUACUAACGUUUCUGCUUCUCUCAAGGUGCAUGAAGUUAGAGUAAGCCUGUAAGUACAAGGAUUGCUGCAAAUUGAUAGCAACUGGUUCAGUGCCAUUAGAUACUUCUUGCCAAGUCAUUGAUUUGGUAGUGAGAAGAGCUGACAUUCCUACCCACUAAGAUUCUGAGACCCUUAAUUACUGCUGUCAGAUCCUUACAAGGUAUAUUGGCUUCUCAGAAACAAGAGCUUAUUUCCUUGAACAAGAAAUUAGCAGAUUUCUCUGAAAUACCAAGAAAGCACCUAGAAUAGGUUCCUCUGUCCUGAACUCCCCCAGGUCUCUGAAGCCCAGUAAAUAUGACGUUCUCAACACAGCGCUGCUCAUAGGAGAUAUAUCACAUGUCCACAGGGAAUUGUCAUCUUUACAAAGUUUUCCUAAUUUCAUGUCCUUGGAAGUAGGCAGUUUGGGCUCCUAUGUAUUGGUUGCUUGGUGACUUGCUGUAUCCAUCAGCUAGAAUUACCGAUGCACAGCAGAAUAUAAGAUGAAUGUUUAAAAAAUGUUUCUCAAUGGAAAGUCAUACAGGACCCAUCUUCUCCACAUCUUUGGGCCCCUGAGACACACUACCAUAAUAGCUUAUGGCACCAUCAACCAAGCGAACAGAGAAAGUCAUCAACUUUAAAUUAUGAAAUCAGUCAUGUGCUCUGUAUAAGCCCUACUUUUCUUCUUCCCUGCAAAUGUAGAGUCCCUUACACUAAAUGCAAAUAUAGCAUGCAUUCCCAAAUUGUUGAAAGAAAUUGAGAGAGAAAAAAACCAACCUCAAACUGCAAACUGUAGUCUACAGCUGAGUGACCACUAAUCAAUUUUGAAUUCUGAUUAACAGAAAUUUUAUGAGGCUAACAGUAACCCCUUCCACUACCUUAUAAUUCCUUGUUUUCUGGUAGAAACUUGGGAGAAUUUACAGAAUCCCAUAACUCAUCCUAUACCUUAGUUUCAGAUUUACACAAUGUUUUUCAAGGAAUCACUUGGAGACUAUGUAGAUUUGAAAACUUAGUUAAGCCUUGCCCGUGGCUGUUUUAUCUCAGAAUAAGUUUGUGCUGAUCUUCCCAACUCCAAUUAUUCUAAUUAAAUUUCUACUGUGACAGCUGGUGUUCUUCCAUUUUGCUCCACUGGAAAAGUUUGGAAUACUGGAACAAAUUUUUUCACUGCUCUGUAAUGAAGAGAUUGGCCAUGGCCGGCAAUAGGCAGAAGGACCCCCAUACACCCUGUGUGAGGCUGUGCUUCGACUGUAAUAACAUAUAGCAAAUUACCACAAAGCUACAGGUUUGAAACAAUUUUAACUAAUAUCUUGCAAUUUCACAGGACCUACACUGGAUCUUCUUCUUUGAGAUCUAAAAUGCCUAAAUUUGUGCAACUUAACUUGUAUUUAGAUUCUAAGACUAAAUCCAUUUUUUUACCUCACUCAAAAUCUUGCCAGAAUUCAGCUCAUUUUAAUUUUAAGAUGGAGACCUCUAUCCCUGAAGCUUUGCCCCUUUGGGCAAGCUUUGAUUAAAGCUACAUUUCAUUCCAGCUUUUCAUUCAGCUCCUUAUCAUAAUGGGGCAUGUGUAUGCGUGUGAAUUCUAUUAAUGUUUUACAUGGGUAUCCUCUGGCAUUUUCUCUUUAUACAAUAUUGGAGUAAACAUUCUGUGUCUAUCAUGCAUGAGAUUAGAUAAUGCCGCUUAGAAAUCACUGUAUAAUCUACUUACUGUGAGUUUCAUGAUAUUCAUUAUAUUACUAAUAAGUCCAAAUUCAGAGGACUGGAAUUAAGAGAUAAGCAAAAGAAUGGAUUCACUCAUGAAGUAAAUAACAAGUUACACAGAUUGAACACUGUGCUAAAAUGAAGCCAUCAAAGAUAAGUAAGACACAUUACUAGUAAGGAAAACCUUUUAUAAGUGUUUAAAGUAAUCUAUAAACUAAGAUCACCUCUCCUCCUCUCCUGUCCUCUCCUCCUCCUCUUCCUUCUCUUGUUCCCAGUUGGUAUGAGCUGCUUUUACAUAAUCUUAUUUUCUUCUAGCUUGUCAAUCAACCAUUGAAUUAUUAUAAAAUUUAACUUCUCUUGCAUCCUACUUUCUCAUUACUUUUAAUAUUUUUUCCAAAUCCUUUUGUAUGUCUGACUUGAAGAUAGACAGCCAGCUGAGUGUUUCCAGCAACGUGUAUGAGGAAUAUAUUCUCUCAUAAUGUUCACCUGCGUGGAGGAGGAAGUAUUUGACUUCAAGAAGAAUGACAUUUAUGAAGCACUUCAGGCAAGUUGAGGGACUUCUUAGUUGAGAGGGAUUAUCUACAUUUAGAUCCAUUCAAAAUUAUAUUAUUUAUUUUCCUCAACAAUAAAAAUGCACAUUGAUUUUCUAAUGUCAAAGUACCAAGUCUCACCAACAAAAUGUGUUACAUAUGAUUCCAAAUAAAACAUUAUAAUAGAAGGGAUCUGACAACAUUUGUUGCUACACUCAUAGAAACCAUCUAACUAUGCAUUUUGCCAUCAGGAUGGCGACAUUUCCAUAAAUGCUGUGGUCCUCAGUAGCAGCUGUCUUUUCUAGACAUGGUCAUUAUUGACAGAAGAGCCCUCUGCACAGUAAUGCUCUUCGUGUUCAUUGAGGCCACUGGUCUGCUCUCCUGAAUUCUUUUCUUUUGCUUCCUAUUAUUCUCCUGGACCAAGACACAUUUUAUUUUUGUUAUGUUGUCCAAUAAAGUAAAAAACAAAACAAAACAAAAAAACCUAGGUGUGCUGAAUUUGAAUUCUUUGGAAACAAUUCACUAGGGUGCCCAAAUGGACAGACUAACAAUAUCAAAACAUGCCUCAAGGAUACAUCAAACCUGCCUAAGACCUACCAUUAGGGCUUCUGAGGUGUGUUAAAGUUCUUCCUUCUAAAAUUAUAGAACCAACAUAGACAGUGCACAUAGAGCCCUGUUUAUGCUGUCUGGAAAAAGGGUUACUGAUCUAGAAAUGUCUGGGUGUGUCUUUUCAGCUGUCACAUGGCAGAAUAUAGCAUGCAACUCUUGGCCUAAAAAUAUAGAAAUGAUGUGACAUAUUCUGGGAAAGAAAGAUGCUGUCUUCUGGCUAUGAGGCAUCCCAGAACAGUAUAAUAAUGGAAAUUAUCCCUGAAGAGCAUGGCACAUGACACAUGCAAUAAGGACACAGGCUGACCUAGAACACACUGUAUAACCCAUGCUGGGCCCAAACUCAUGAUAAUCUUUCUGUCUCAGCCUCCCAGGUGCUGAGAUUAUUGGUAGGUAAAACCUUGUUCACCUUACAUCCUACUUCUUAAGGUCAGAAAAUUGAAUUUCUUCACUCCCCCACCGCCAGAUCUAAAACAUCCAAGGCUUUGCAUGUGUGUUAAUGUGUAGGGUAUUGAUUAAAAGAUAUUGAAAUCCGUUGUGGAUUGUGAUUUUGCAUUGAUGCUCAUCUCUCUUGACUCCUCAGGACAGUUUGCUUGUUAAUGAGAAGCUGGAGUCAGAUGAGUCAAGUCAGAUAAUCCCAAAUCCCAACAGUAAUCAGGUGCCCAUCUCUUCCUUAGGAGCAGCUUGCCAGUCCAGAGCAGACAUCACCCCUUUCUGUCUUUGGUCAGUGGUUCUCAACCUUCCUAAUGCUGUGACCCUUUAAUACAGUUCCUCGUGUUGUAGUGACUCCCAAUCAUAAAAUUAUUUCAUUGCUACUUCAUAACUAAUUUUGCUGCUGAUAUGAACUGCAAUGGUCAUAUCUGAUAUGCCAAAUAUCUGACAUAUGACUCAUAGGUGGUAUCAUCCCAUAGGAUGUGAACUACUGCAUUAGAAAUAACCACUGCUCCAGAAAUAUUCUUAAAAUGUGUUUCCAUUCACUAAAUCCAUAGUUUAUUUAGCACUGAAUUCAAAGCAGCGAUAUAAGUUAUAAUAACAAGCUUCAGCGCAUGCUAUCCACUCCUGGAAAGGGUAAACCAGUCUUACCUUUAUUAUUAGAAGGAAAUAUAGUUAUUAUGUUAAAGAUACCGCAUGCAUUUGCAUAGAGCAAGUAAGAAACUGUGAAGGAAAGGAGAAACUGUUUCUUGGUUGUAUCAAGUGUAUGUUCUGAAAAAUAAUCACAAGAAAACUGAACUUAUGGUUAAUAGCAAGAAACACCUCUCAACUGUCUCAGGGACUGCCUAACUGCAGAAGGAAGAGGGGACAGAAGGAAACGCUUUGACAUAGAUUGAUCUAUACUUAGGAUGUCUAAUGGUUCUGAGCCUCCCAAGGCUGGGAGGGUGUAGUAUGAGCUGAGCUAGGCCUUGUUAUCCUCGUGACUGAGGGACCUGUUUACAUAGACCUGCCAUUUCUGAUUGCAACAUAAUCUAGGGAUCAGGUAUCACAGAGCACAUCUAUGAUCCUGCACAUGCAAAUUAGAAGGAGGAGCCUAUCUUCGCAGAUAAAGCGCAGUGCAGUACUGGGGUACAUCAUUUGUCCAGUGCAGCACAGCUGUGCUGUAGUCCCCACAAAUCUUUCUGGAAGCCACACUUGCAGCAGGACUCAACUCUGAUACUUGAGAGGACUGGCCUCAAUCAUGGGGCUGAAGUUCUCUGAGAGGCCAAUGCAAUGUAGAAUGCUGAGGAUACUCCCUGCUACUGUCAUUCUUUUACUUUUGCUCUUCUCUUGAGUACAGAAAAUUUGGAGACAUACUUCAUUAGGACUUCUCUGAGUCUUGGAAAAUGUAAGGGGCACUGUGAACAUAUGACUACAGAGAAUAUUUUUACGUUUUUAUCAAACGCCCCAAGGAAAUUUAACCUCGAGAGCUUAAAGUUAUGGCUUAAGUAUCUGUUGUCAUUGGAGGGUUAAAUCAAUAAACAUAAGGGAGAAGGAAAGAGAGUCUGAAAGCAUUCUUUCUUUCCCUUUAGUUUACAUGGUCCAGUCAGCAUAACUGUGAACCACUUUGCAAACAGCUGCCCAUUGAAAGAAACUUGCUGUUUCCUUGCGUCACGAAGUGUGGUCCACCACACUGCUACACUCUAAUAAACAAGUUAUUACACCAAUAGAUCUGAAAGUCUUCCAAACAUAUUUUAAAAUGCUCCUUUAAUAAAUGGCCCUUGAAAGGUUUGCUAACAACCAUGUUCCCUGGUCAAGCAAAAGGAAGUCCCAGGUGGCGAUUGGGACUCCUGUUCCGAGUCAGGUUUAAUUCUUGUACCCAGUGUUAAGUAACUGGGGUUGCAAGACCUAGAGAACAUAGUGAGUUUUUCUAUGCAGAAUGGAAUUAAAAAAUGUUUCUGUCUGUCAGGCUUUAAAUAAAUGCAAUAAUAGAUGGUAAGUCUUCCCUACUAUUAUUAAAUGAUAGUACAGAGUCUUUACAUAUUAAUUCUUCCAUGUUUUUAUUUUCCUUAUUGAAAAAAUUGGGCUAUCAGAACCAGAUAGUGUGAGGAUGUAACAUGAGUGGAGAUGUUUUCUUUCCUUCUGUUCUUUUUCCAAGGAAGGUUUUUUUUUUUGUUUGUUUUGUUUUGUUUUUUAAUGCCCAUAUUUUUAAGACUCAAGAUACAUUCUUCCUUACUACACCUUUUUGAUCCAUCAAGGCAAAUUUAGGUAAUUUAUAAGAAAUGGGAGGGAUUGAACAGAGCAGACUGACAUGGUGGCUUAUCAGUAUAUUGAUGAGUCAACAGAACUGCAUCCUGGGUAGGGCACUCAGAAGCAAUUCCACUUCCUGUGAAUCUGUGUUUGGGCUAAUCUGGAACCCUCUCAGUGCUGUGAACUCCUUUAAUUUAGACAGGCGAAGUCAAUACAUUGAGAACUAAAUGCUCAAGGAGCACCAGGGCCAGCUUAGACCUUAGACUCCCUUCUGUCCUCUGAUGAUUCCCUUGGUACAUCACUCACUUUCAGUAUGCAAUGGGACUCUCCAAUCUGUUUUUAUAGCUUUUCUCUCACUUGCGGUUAGAAGAAUAUGCUUGGCUCUUGUACAUAUUUAUUUGAGUAUAUUUUUGGUUAUAAUUCAGCUAAACUGGAAGGGGCAGGUCAGAAUUUAAAAUAACAAACAGCCAAAGAAGACCAGAAGGUUAACAACAGUAUUCUUAAUCUGGGCUGAACAUCACAACUAAUGGGUACAUUUACGCUACUAUUCAAAUAAACACUCAUGGACUGGAUCCAUGGCAGGUCUGUGAAGUAAGUCAGGGGUGAGGGACAAGACACUUCUGAACAAAAGAGAAAAAUAAAAUAUUGUUGUACUAGAGUAAUAUGUCAAAAAUAAACUUUUCUACAUUUUGAAGAAAAACCAAUAAACUUGAACGCCCACAGUCAGAAGCAGCAAGUCUUUAAGAAAACAAGGAUGUGGUCACCUCUACUCUGCAAGGAAAGGACUCAAGACUGGAGUGUGGGAGUGGAUGGGGCAGUGUUGAAGAGAACAAGAGGAUAAGUCAAGCAAAGGGCUAUCCUGUGCCACUUCUGUGCCGUUACCAUCACGUGCUUUAGGGAAUUUUUUUUUUCCUGAGAUUUUGGGAUAACCUUUCUUCAUAUUGUGUGAGGCUGUGUCUCUGUAUUUUCAGUUAAUAUUGCACUGGCAGAGAGCAAAAUGGAGGCAAGACUUUGGUAUUGCCAUUUCUAUGGCCCAUCACUGGGUUUUUGUAAAUAUUCAUACUUCCUUACCUGCCUAAAGGCAAUCUAGACAUCUAUCAGAGGUUGUGUUGCAGCUGAAUGGUUGUAGUAAAGAUCUGAGGGCUGGCCAGUAGCUCUACAGCAAGUUCUGCCUGAGAACUUCCAGGCAGAGGAGGAUGAUAGCUAAUGAUAAACACUUGCAAAUGAAAAAACAAAUAGCUUUCUACUAGCAAGUCUCACUGGGGAAACAAACUACUCUUAAGGGUAGAGCUCAAGAGCUGAUGUUCAGCAGAGAGAAAAAAAAAAGCCGAAGCACUAAGGAACAGGACCAGAGUGGAGCAAGCAAAUGCAUGGAGCUAGCCAUGUGGAAGGUUGUAGGCUAGAAUAAUCGGGUUAAGUUUAAACACUAGCUGGGAGAUUGCCCCAGCAAGAGGCCUAAGCUUUAAACUUUAUUAGUAGCCUCUGUGUUAUAUUUAAUACUUCUGGUGAGUCUGAGGAAGUCCUUCAAUCCUGACUGUAUGUAUGAAUUGAAUGGGUAAUACACUAGCAUACCUCAGUGCUCAAAGACAAUGGUGUAAGAAUAGACACCCACCUCAGAACUGAGCAGUAGUAUUUCAUGUCUGGUGACAAUGGCUUCCUCAGACUUGUGUGGUCCAAUAUGGUGGGAUUAAGCUUCUCGGGUAGUUGGGACACAUAUGGCAUAGUGCCAAAGGACAGCAAGAGUUGGUUUUUGGAUUUGUUGCAGGCAGAGCUGGAAAACAGAUAUUCAUUUCUUCAUAGCUGUCAAGGAUGGAAAGGAGAAACUGACAAUUUUGCUUCUUGGGAAGUAGAUGCUUAGAUUUACUGUAAGCUGUGAGGGUUUGGAAAAGCUUCCAGGGAGAUACAGUUAUCAAAGAAAAGGGAAAGGGGGCAGGACCCAGCACUGGGCAACUUGUGGGUACAGCUGCUCUUCACAUUUCAGUCCUUCAAGCUUUUUAAGUUGUGCUGAGUUUCUGUGGUGAAUUCUGAGACGUACGUACCUCAGUGGUCAUGGGGAAGUUGAGCUGGUGCCUUCCUAGAGCCAUCAGGCUUAUAGACUAGUGUUCAUGGUGCUGUAAGGGUCUCUGCAUGCUACCAAAGAAGAAAGACAAACACCAACAUGGCUACAAAGCCCUCCAUCUAUAAUGCUGAGCGCCUGCAAGAUAUGCUACUGCAAUAGUGACACAAAGCUGGUAGGAGUAACCAAUCUUUGAUUGGAUUUGAAGCCCAGUUCCUGAGCUGGAAACCAUACCUGACACUGCUUGGGGUGGCCAAGAACCUGAGACUACAUAUAUGGCAGGCAUCAAGGACAAAAUUGAAUGCUACUGAUCUGCAGAAAUAAAAUGGCUCCUAAUGACAUUCUUCUACACUCACAGAUCAGUGCUUUGCUCAGCCAUCAUCAGAGAAGCUUCCUUCUGAAGCAGAUGGGAACAGAUGCAGAGACCCAUAGAUAGACAAUAUGUAAAGAGUGAGAAACCUUGAAACACAGCUCUAAGUAGAAAGUCUCUAUCAAAUCCCUGUCCUCAUGGCCUGGGGAACCCAUAAAAGAAGUUGGAAAGACUUUAAGAGCCUGAGAGAGUAGAGGACAUUAUGGAAACAAAGCUUUCUAAACACAUUAGUUCCAAUGCACAGAAUAACUCAUAGAGACCUUGGCAGCAGGUACAGGGCCAGAACGGGUCUAUACCAGUUACAGUCCAAGAGCUGAGGCAAAAAGAGGACACACAUUCCCCUGCCUGACACGGAAGCAAUGUUAGCUAAUGAUAAACACUCGCAAAUGAAAAAACAAAUAGCUUUCUACUAGCAAGUCUCACUGGGGAAACAAACUACUCUUAAAGGUAGAGCUCAAGAGCUGAUGUUCAACAGUAGAUGGCCAGCACAAAAUCAAUUCACUAGCAUCUUUUGAGGUUCUUUGUCUCAUAAUGUUCUAUAAGGACAUUUUCUUUUUAACCAUAGAGGGCCUUCAUGUAUAUAUAUUAUGGUUUCCAGUUUUAUAUUUCUAUGGGAUUCCUGAGGGUGUGCAUAUGUAUUUCUCAUGCAUUUUAUUUUUGUCUAUAUUUCUUCUGUGUGUUUGUUUUGUCCAAUUCCAAUGUAUUUAAUUUUCUUUAAUCUUAUUUUAUUACUCUUCCUCAAAUAAUUCCUUAGACAUGCACAAGAGAAUUAUUUUCUAAUGAGAGACCUAAAAGAGGUAGGUCUGGGUGGAAGUGGAGAUGAUGAAGAACUGGGAGGAGUUGGGGGAGGAAAAACUGUUCAGAAUAUAUUGUAUGUAGAAAACUAUUUUUAAUAAGAUAAAACACAUAUCUCUCUAGAUGCCCCCAAAAUGCUGUCUUUGAAAAUCAUCAGAAGUAAAAAAGAAAUACUCACCUCAAGUUUAUGAUGACUCUUCAUGGCCAUCAUAGCUAGUCAACUAUAAAUGUCACAGUAAAGGCUUGGUCUUUUAGCCAAGCAUAGACAAGAAUUCCCCAUUGACCUACUUUCUAUAUGGAUUCUCAUACAGAAAAAAAAAAAGAAGUAAACUAUAAAACAUAAAAAGGUUAAGAAAACUGUUGGUUACUAGAGGUGGUAAGAGGGGGAUGGAAUGACCUACAUAGGUCAAAUGAUACUGAGACACAGAUGUGGAAAAUGAGUCAAUCUAAAUAAAGGUAUAUAACAGGAUGAGUAUAAUUAAUAAUAUAUUGUACUCAGGAUUGCUGGCUCAAUGAUCAUUCCUUGACACACACACAAAAGUAGAUGUGAGAUGAUAAAUAUGAUAAUUUGUUUGAUGAAGGCAACAUUUAACUGUGUCUGCACUUGUCAGAAUACAAUGUUACAUGCUUUAAAACCUUACAGUAUCAUUUACCUUUUAAGUCACAAUGUCUCUCUCACCACCAUGUGAGUAGAUGAUAUGAAACUAGCCAAUGAGAGAGAUUGUACCAGGAAACAAAUCCUGCCACAACUUUGAUUUUUAAUUUCUUGUUCUUUAGAAUUAUGAAAAAAAAUGUGUUUAAACCAAAAACAAAAUUUUGGUAUACCUAUUAAGUUUUGACCAGCCUUUCUUCCAAGAUGAUCUUCCUGACUGCAAAAGGAACACACAGAAAUAUUGCUCCUUUAGCUCUGAGUCUGAUGAGCAAGGAGAGUUUAAUUGUAGUGGAUACAGUUUUAAAAAUCUUUUAAUGAAAUAGUUAUAGUGCUUUGGAAAUUUUUGAUAGAUGAACGAUAGGGCUUAAUGGGUGUAGCAGGUGCUUAAGUAUAGCUUGGAAGAAUUGAAUGAAGAAAGAGCUUUAUGGUUGAUCAAUACUCAAAACUCAAAUUCCGAGUACAUACCCCAACCACACAAAGAGAUGGAGAGAAGUCAAGCCCAUUUAAGAAGACUUCAAUGAGACUAAAACCCUGAAGAUGAAGUGCUUCCUACAUGCUAUCGGAGAGAAGAUCAGAGAGUAACUCAUGAUUUGAAUACAUAUAGGAUAAUUAUGCUAUAUGUUGAACAACAUAUGAGAUCACAUCCUGCACUGUUUUUUUUCAGUUCUAUUUAUCACUUUAACAGAGAUACCUCCCUCAUUUGUAGAUUAAAAUAUAAUAUGUAUGGAGAAAUAAAAAUGAAACUUGUGCUGCUUUA
Mus musculus (house mouse) is the source of this 15809-nucleotide long non-coding RNA. RefSeq annotates it as predicted gene, 36790. The transcript has 2 exons. Lineage: Eukaryota; Metazoa; Chordata; Mammalia; Rodentia; Muridae. The record is from RefSeq and is a predicted model, not a curated record.